GACGAACGCUGGCGGCGUGCUUAACACAUGCAAGUCGAACGGAAAGGCCUCUUUCGGGGGGUACUCGAGUGGCGAACGGGUGAGUAACACGUGAGUAACCUGCCCUUGACUUUGGGAUAACUUCAGGAAACUGGGGCUAAUACCGGAUAGGAGCUCCUGCUGCAUGGUGGGGGUUGGAAAGUUUCGGCGGUUGGGGAUGGCCUCGCGGCUUAUCCGCUUGUUGGUGGGGUAGUGGCUUACCAAGGCGUUGACGGGUAGCCGGCCUGUGAGGGUGACCGGCCACAUUGGGACUGAGAUACGGCCCAGACUCCUACGGGAGGCAGCAGUGGGGAAUAUUGCACAAUGGGUGGAAGCCUGAUGCAGCAACGCCGUGUGCGGGAUGACGGCCUUCGGGUUGUAAACCGCUUUCGCUCAUGACGAAGCUUUGUGUGACGGUAGUGGGUAAAGAAGCACCGGCUAACUACGUG
This 467-nucleotide ribosomal RNA is filed under the name uncultured bacterium. Its description in RNAcentral is "partial 16S ribosomal RNA". It matches the Rfam family "Bacterial small subunit ribosomal RNA", at positions 28 to 507 of the family's 1533-position model. The record is from RNAcentral.